This is a long non-coding RNA of Strigops habroptila (Kakapo), 818 nucleotides long. RefSeq lists it as uncharacterized. The transcript has 2 exons. NCBI's taxonomy places the organism in Eukaryota, Metazoa, Chordata, Aves, Psittaciformes, Psittacidae. The record is from RefSeq and is a predicted model, not a curated record.
GGGCGGGGGGAGGGAGCUCAGCGCAAGGUGACCCCUCCCCUCCCCUUCCCCCAGCGCUGGCGGCGCGGCCCAUCAGACCCAGUUAGAGCCCCUGGCGUCCCGCGUCCCCUUCCCGCCGGGCCUAGCACUGGCCCCGCCGCCUCCGCGCUCCCCUCUGCGCCCGCCGCUGGGGGCUCGGCCCCCCACCUGAGGCUCAAGCCUGAUGAGGGUGUAACGGGGGAGGUUCGAGCCACAGCGGUGCGCGGGGCUGAGGCGGAGGUGAGCGCUGAGGGCACGGGGAGGGAGCUGGCCGGGGCAGGAGCCGCCUUCGUUGCGUCUUUGGUGAUGCGGUGUGAAAUUGAGCCGGUACUCCCUCCGGGCUGGCCGUGCUUUGUAGCGUGCUGCUGUCGUUCACCCCCGUCACUCGCCACGAAAACGUGGGAAAUGUCUGUGCUGCAUGCACAAAGUGGAUUACAGCAACCAGCAGUAUGUUUAUUUAAAACUGCUUCUUACGGAAAGUUACUGAGUUUCUUAGUUCUCAUGUGUGAGGGCUGGUUCAUGCCUAUGUAGUAAACUGGUCCCUCUUGGAUCACGAGGAAAUCACAUCUGAACAGAAAGUUUUGGCAGUGGAAAGAUGUUCUCUUGUUACUGGAAACGUCAGCGCCUGCCUUAAGGUCCUUGGAAGCACAUGAGGAGUGUCGGAGCAGUGAUGUCACAGCCAGCUGGAAGGAGCCACAGCUUUCCUGGCCCUUCUGCAGCCAGAGGGGAUGAGAAUGCUGCCUGAUACGUUAUAUUGCCUUGUCAUUAAUGACCAAUAAAGGAAAAUCACUUUUAAUCAA